UGAGGAAUAUUGCGCAAUGGAGGCAACUCUGACGCAGCGACGCCGCGUGGGCGAAGAAGGUCUUCGGAUCGUAAAGCCCUUUUCUCUGUGACGAGAACAGGACGGUAGCAGAGGAAUAAGUCUCGGCUAACUACGUGCCAGCAGCCGCGGUAAAACGUAGGAGGCGAGCGUUAUCCGGAGUUACUGGGCGUAAAGCGCGUGUAGGCGGCUGCGCAGGUCGGAUGUGAAAGCUCCCAGGCUAAACCGGGAGAGGUCAUUCGAAACCGUGUAGCUAGAGGAUGGCAGAGGCGUGUGGAAUUCCGGGUGUAGUGGUGAAAUGCGCAGAUAUCCGGAGGAACACCAGUGGCGAAGGCGACACGCUGGGCCAUCACUGACGCUGAGACGCGAAAGCAUGGGGAGCGAACG
Molecule: ribosomal RNA, 405 nt
Filed under: uncultured bacterium
Lineage: Bacteria
Description: bacterial SSU rRNA
Rfam family: Bacterial small subunit ribosomal RNA
Source: RNAcentral